UGGAUCUGUGUGCUUUCUUUCAGUAUUGU
This 29-nucleotide non-coding RNA is filed under the name Mus musculus (house mouse). The record is from RNAcentral. Lineage: Eukaryota; Metazoa; Chordata; Mammalia; Rodentia; Muridae.